RNAcentral lists this ribosomal RNA (499 nucleotides) under uncultured bacterium. RNAcentral's name for it is "partial 16S ribosomal RNA". It matches the Rfam family "Bacterial small subunit ribosomal RNA", at positions 28 to 507 of the family's 1533-position model. The record is from RNAcentral.
GAUGAACGCCGGCGGCGUGCCUAAUACAUGCAAGUCGAGCGAACAGACGAGAGUGCUUGCACUCUCUGACGUUAGCGGCGGACGGGUGAGUAACACGUGGGUAACCUACCUAUAAGACUGGGAUAACUUCGGGAAACCGGAGCUAAUACCGGAUAAUAUUUAGCUUCGCAUGAAGCAAUAGUGAAAGACGGUUCUGCUGUCACUUAUAGAUGGACCCGCGGUGUAUUAGCUAGUUGGUGAGGUAACGGCUCACCAAGGCAACGAUACAUAGCCGACCUGAGAGGGUGAUCGGCCACACUGGGACUGAGACACGGCCCAGACUCCUACGGGAGGCAGCAGUAGGGAAUCUUCCGCAAAGGACGAAAGUCUGACGGAGCAAUGCCGCGUGAGUGAAGAAGGUUUUCGGAUCGUAAAACUCUGUUGUAAGGGAAGAACAAGUACGUUAGUAACUGAACGUACCUUGACGGUACCUUACCAGAAAGCCACGGCUAACUACGUG